Bombyx mori (domestic silkworm) is the source of this 1063-nucleotide long non-coding RNA. RefSeq lists it as uncharacterized. The transcript has 3 exons. The record is from RefSeq and is a predicted model, not a curated record. Lineage: Eukaryota; Metazoa; Arthropoda; Insecta; Lepidoptera; Bombycidae.
UUUCUCUUCGAAACAUCCAGAACCUCAGACAGGCGACAUUGUGUACACAUUACAUUAUGAAUGUCUCAUUACCCAUUCGAAGUCGGCUUCAGGAACAAAUUAUUAUCGUUUAUUUAAAUUGUUUAUAAAUCGUACGCUGUUCGAGUUUCGUUGGUUUGCAAUUGUAAUAACAUUUAUAUUUUACACUAGCGGCCCGCCCACGCUUCGCUUCCGAAACUGUAAUUUAUUAUUGGUUUCUCCACUAUUUAACACGUUCACUGCGGAACAGGCCCAAAUCAGCCUGCCGCGGAAUUUCACCUGGUGCGGACGAAGAAAACUAUGUCCCUCUCGCUGGUGCGGAACGAUUAUCUCAGGUGUUUGUAAAGGUACGACAAAGACAAAUAUAUAUUUGACAUUGUGGUCAAAAGUAUAGAUGUUCCCUAUAAAAACAUCACGGCAGGCCUUUAUCGGCCUAUCACGCACUGACGGUAAAAAACAUCAACUCGGUGCGGGAGGAGGCCUAUUGUGGCCCGCCGUCCCAACAGGCUGUUGGCGGCCCGAUACCGCACAGAGCGCCCGCCUCGCCAGUUAGUGUUGGGCAAGCUAUCGGAACUGACGUACGUCACGUUUUUUUUAUUCCUUAAAAUUAAAGGCACGAUGUCAAGCAACAAAAGAAAGAUAAAUAUUUUGGAAAAUAAAUUAAUUUGCGGUGCAGAUAGUGAUAGUGACAGCAGUCAGGAGAUAUUUUCCUUCAAGAAAAAAAAAACCAAGCACAAGUGAGCAUAUUUACAGUAGCCCCACUGGAAGAAAAUUUCAUAUUCUCAAACCAGUCUCGUCUUUAAAUGAAACUAAUACCGGAAAUCAAGUAACACCUACGGCCGAUCAUAUCCUUGAGAUGAGCGGUAAACGGCGAAAUUGUGUAGGGUGCUAUGAAAAACUGCGGGAAACCAUGAAGAGUUCCGAGGUGAAAAGGAAAGUAAAAAAAAUUAAAACAUACUGCAGAAUGUGCAAGCAAAAUCUUUGUGCGAAAUGUUUUAAAGACAGCCAUUAAUAAAUAAUUAAAUAAACAAUUUUUAUUUCUUUA